GGAGAAAUGGCAGAGCGGUCGAAUGCACACGAUUCGAAAUCGUGCAAUGGGCAACCAUUCUAGGGUUCAAAUCCCUAUUUCUCCGCCA
Molecule: transfer RNA, 88 nt
Filed under: Clostridia bacterium
Lineage: Bacteria; Bacillati; Bacillota; Clostridia
Description: tRNA-Ser
Rfam family: tRNA
About the family: Transfer RNA (tRNA) molecules are approximately 80 nucleotides in length. Their secondary structure includes four short double-helical elements and three loops (D, anti-codon, and T loops).
Source: RNAcentral